Molecule: small RNA, 66 nt
Filed under: Chrysemys picta bellii (western painted turtle)
Lineage: Eukaryota; Metazoa; Chordata; Testudines; Emydidae
Description: TUC338 (ENSCPBG00000012486.1)
Source: RNAcentral
AACAAGUUUGGCAGUGGCAGCAGCAGUGCAAGCUUCUCCACACUGCUCUGUCAGCGUGCCUCAGCC